Molecule: ribosomal RNA, 822 nt
Filed under: uncultured organism
Description: bacterial SSU rRNA
Rfam family: Bacterial small subunit ribosomal RNA
Source: RNAcentral
UGAUCCUGGCUCAGGAUGAACGCUAGCGGCAGGCUUAACACAUGCAAGUCGUGGGGUAACAGAUGGACAGAUCCUUCGGGUGACGAUCAUGCUGACGACCGGCGCACGGGUGAGUAACGCGUAUGCAACCUGCCCCUGACAGGAGGAUAGCCCUAGGAAACUGGGAUUAAUACUCCAUGUAUUAUCAAAUAGGCAUCUAUUACAUAAUAAAGCUACGGCGGUCAGGGAUGGGCAUGCGUGCCAUUAGUUAGUUGGUGAGGUAACGGCUCACCAAGGCAUCGAUGGCUAGGGGUUCUGAGAGGAUGAUCCCCCACACUGGUACUGAGACACGGACCAGACUCCUACGGGAGGCAGCAGUGAGGAAUAUUGGUCAAUGGGCGCAAGCCUGAACCAGCCAUGCCGCGUGCAGGAUGACUGUUCUAUGAAUUGUAAACUGCUUUUCUGCGGGAAGAAAUGUACCUACGUGUAGGUAUUUGCCGGUACUGCAGGAAUAAGCAUCGGCUAACUCCGUGCCAGCAGCCGCGGUAAUACGGAGGAUGCAAGCGUUAUCCGGAUUCAUUGGGUUUAAAGGGUGCGCAGGCGGUGUAUUAAGUCAGUGGUGAAAUGCUGCGGCUCAACCGUAGACUUGCCAUUGAUACUGGUACACUUGAAUGUAGUUGAGGUAGGCGGAAUGUGUAAUGUAGCGGUGAAAUGCUUAGAUAUUACACAGAACACCGAUUGCGAAGGCAGCUUACUAAACUAUGAUUGACGCUGAGGCACGAAAGCGUGGGGAGCGAACAGGAUUAGAUACCCUGGUAGUCCACGCUGUAAACUAUGAUCACU